This 901-nucleotide ribosomal RNA is filed under the name uncultured Actinomycetales bacterium. RNAcentral describes it as "bacterial SSU rRNA". It matches the Rfam family "Bacterial small subunit ribosomal RNA", at positions 57 to 973 of the family's 1533-position model. Lineage: Bacteria; Bacillati; Actinomycetota; Actinomycetes; Actinomycetales. The record is from RNAcentral.
GCAAGUCGAGCGAUGAAACUACUUCGGUAGUGAAUUAGCGGCGAACGGGUGAGGAACACGUGAGGAAUCUGCCUUCAACACUGGGAUAACUCCGGGAAACCGGGGCUAAUACCGGAUACGAGCCUUGAUCGCAUGAUCGAGGCUGGAAAGUUUUUCGGUUGAAGAUGACCUCGCGGCCUAUCAGCUUGUUGGUGAGGUAAUGGCUCACCAAGGCGACGACGGGUAGCCGGCCUGAGAGGGCGACCGGCCACACUGGGACUGAGACACGGCCCAGACUCCUACGGGAGGCAGCAGUGGGGAAUAUUGGGCAAUGGAGGAAACUCUGACCCAGCGACGCCGCGUGCGGGAUGAAGGCCUUCGGGUUGUAAACCGCUUUCAGUAGGGAAGAAGCGAAAGUGACGGUACCUACAGAAGAAGCACCGGCUAACUAUGUGCCAGCAGCCGCGGUAAUACAUAGGGUGCAAGCGUUGUCCGGAAUUAUUGGGCGUAAAGAGCUCGUAGGUGGUUUGAUACGUCGGGUGUGAAAUUCAGGGGCUCAACCCCUGACCUGCAUUCGAUACGGUCAAGCUAGAGUUUGGUAGGGGAGACUGGAAUUCCUGGUGUAGCGGUGGAAUGCGCAGAUAUCAGGAGGAACACCGAUGGCGAAGGCAGGUCUCUGGGCCAAUACUGACACUGAGGAGCGAAAGCGUGGGGAGCGAACAGGAUUAGAUACCCUGGUAGUCCACGCCGUAAACGGUGGGCGCUAGUUGUGCGAACCUUCCACGGUUUGUGCGACGCAGCUAACGCAUUAAGCGCCCCGCCUGGGGAGUACGAUCGCAAGAUUAAAACUCAAAGGAAUUGACGGGGCCCCGCACAAGCAGCGGAGCAUGCGGCUUAAUUCGACGCAACGCGAAGAACCUUA